AGGAGGAUUUCAUAUGUCAAGUCUCUAGUUCGAAUCCGAAAAGAGACCAAAUGAAGAAUUAAAUUUUUCCUUCUUUUUGCUAUGUGAAAUUACCAGAUUGUCCUUAUCCCAUUGUGAUAUAAUUCCUUCUCUUUUCCUUUCUCCAGCAGAUUUGUGCGUGAGUCAAGAGAGCUGUAGACUUCACCAGAAACUUCGAACCCUUUUCGUUCAGCCCUUCACCCAUUAUCAUCAUCCCUGUCGUUAAACUACUCGACGGUGACCUUGGGAGCGAAAAAAUCCACCAUGGGAGACGUUCAGUGACUGGUUGUUCUCCCCUGUUUUCGCUUCGUUCUUCCUUAUCUUGCUGUCCAUGAACUGUGCGAACGUUCCAAGCUUCCUUGUCGUUUGUCUUUCGUCCAUCUCAAGUGCUGUGAGUUCGCCGGAAGUCUUUUGCUCUUCUCACGUUGGAGUCGUGCAGCGAACCUUCUCUCUUCUUCUUCUUCCUUUCAGUUCGUUAUACAGAGCUGUGACUCAUCUUGCUUCCUUGUUCGGUCUCAGUUGAGCGAGUGUUUUGUCUUCCUCUAUUCCUUGCAUCAGCUGGAGAAUUCCAUUUUCUCUCCCUGUUCUGCUGUAGGUUCUGUCUUCUUCGUUACCUUUGCUGUUAUUGUUGUUUCAGGUGAGAAUUCUUCAGCUUUCUUCCUUGACGAACUUGCGUGAGAGGAAGUGACGCGUGGAGGAAGAGGAUCCCGAUAGAAAUUAAAUAAAUAAUAUUUUGGAGAUUUGAAAUCACAACAGAUUGGUUAGCUGACGCCGAUUUCAUCAACGACCUCAAAAAGGGCAACUAACUACAGUGGGUGGACAUUUUGAUUGGUAUUGUUGCUUUAAUGUAAAUACAUAAAUUGUAUGUCUUUUUGAUCUGAAAGAAAUAGCAGAUGCUCCACAUAGAUUGUUGAUAAAUUUUAUUUUUGGUCUGUAUAUUGGUUGUUGGCUGGAAGGAGCUACGCUCCUGAUUUAUACUGAUAUUUGUAAAAUUUUUAUUGUAGAAUUUUCAGGAGAUCCUAGUUACAGGGGAGGUUCUGCCGAAAUUUCUACAAAAACGUUGACACUUUCUUAUGACAAUGAAUUUAAAGAAGUUAUUUUAAUUUUUAUAUGAUUUGAUUGAAUUUUAUUCUUCUCUUGAAAAAUGAAAUAAAUAUUCAUUUGGAGGCUUACGGGAAGGUGAGAAUGGUUCACACCCGUGCCGGUCACCCUCCAUUUUGGGGC
Molecule: RNA transcript, 1242 nt
Organism: Prosopis cineraria
Lineage: Eukaryota; Viridiplantae; Streptophyta; Magnoliopsida; Fabales; Fabaceae
Exons: 4
Source: RefSeq, a predicted model, not a curated record